AGAUUGAACGCUGGCGGCAUGCCUUACACAUGCAAGUCGAACGGCAGCACGGGAGCAAUCCUGGUGGCGAGUGGCGAACGGGUGAGUAAUACAUCGGAACGUGCCCAGUUGUGGGGGAUAGCCCGGCGAAAGCCGGAUUAAUACCGCAUACGACCUACGGGUGAAAGCGGGGGAUCGCAAGACCUCGCGCUAUUGGAGCGGCCGAUGUCGGAUUAGCUUGUUGGUAGGGUAAAAGCCUACCAAGGCUACGAUCCGUAGCUGGUCUGAGAGGACGACCAGCCACACUGGACUGAGACACGGCCCAGACUCCUACGGGAGCANCAGUGGGGAAUUUGGACAAAUGGGCGAAAAGCCUGAUCC
This 360-nucleotide ribosomal RNA is filed under the name uncultured soil bacterium. Its description in RNAcentral is "bacterial SSU rRNA". It matches the Rfam family "Bacterial small subunit ribosomal RNA", at positions 26 to 389 of the family's 1533-position model. The record is from RNAcentral.